This 253-nucleotide ribosomal RNA is filed under the name uncultured bacterium. Its description in RNAcentral is "partial 16S ribosomal RNA". It matches the Rfam family "Bacterial small subunit ribosomal RNA", at positions 524 to 776 of the family's 1533-position model. The record is from RNAcentral.
UACAGAGGUCUCAAGCGUUGUUCGGAUUCAUUGGGCGUAAAGGGUGCGUAGGCGGUUUGAUAAGUCUGAUGUGAAAUCCCCGGGCUCAACCUGGGAACGGCAUUGGAGACUGUCAAGCUAGAGUGCGUCAGAGGGGGGUAGAAUUCCACGUGUAGCAGUGAAAUGCGUAGAGAUGUGGAGGAAUACCGAUGGCGAAGGCAGCCCCCUGGGAUGACACUGACGCUGAAGCACGAAAGCGUGGGGAGCAAACAGG